CACGGGGGGAGCGAGCGUUGUUCGGAAUCACUGGGCGUAAAGGGCGUGUAGGCGGUCAGGUAAGUGGGAUGUGAAAUUCCCCGGCUCACCCGGGGGCCUGCAUCCCAAACUGCCUGGCUUGAGUAUGGGAGAGGAUGGGGGAAUUCCUGGUGUAGCGGUGAAAUGCGUAGAUAUCAGGAGGAACACCGGUGGCGAAGGCGCCCAUCUGGCCCAAUACUGACGCUGAGGCGCGAAAGCUAGGGGAGCAAAC
Molecule: ribosomal RNA, 250 nt
Filed under: uncultured bacterium
Lineage: Bacteria
Description: partial 16S ribosomal RNA
Rfam family: Bacterial small subunit ribosomal RNA
Source: RNAcentral